GACGAACGCUGACGGUGUGCUUUAGACAUGCAAGUCGAACGCGAAAGCCCUUCGGGGUUAGUAGAGUGGCGAACGGGUGAGUAACACGUGGGCAAUCUGCCCCUCGCAGGGGGACGAACCGGAGGAAACUCCGGCUAAUACCCCGUACGCUUGCUGGACCGCAUGGUCCGGCAAGGAAAGGUAGCUUCGGCCAUCCGGCGAGGGAUGAGCCCGCGGUGCAUUAGCUAGUUGGUGAGGUAACGGCCCACCAAGGCAACGAUGCAUAGCUGGUCUGAGAGGAUGAUCAGCCACACUGGGACUGAGACACGGCCCAGACUCCUACGGGAGGCAGCAGUCGGGAAUCUUGCGCAAUGGGCGAAAGCCUGACGCAGCAACACCGUGUGAGCGACGAAGGCC
RNAcentral lists this ribosomal RNA (396 nucleotides) under uncultured bacterium. Its description in RNAcentral is "bacterial SSU rRNA". It matches the Rfam family "Bacterial small subunit ribosomal RNA", at positions 28 to 416 of the family's 1533-position model. The record is from RNAcentral.